CUAUGUAAGUGGAUCCCUUCCUAACAUAUAUAAUAGAGAUAUAACAUUUUAGAUACAUAUUGUAAUAGCCCAAAUUUGUCUGGGCCUUAAAACCAAAAAUGAUAAAUUGAUAAAUAAAAGUCCAUUUAUACAGUACAUUUAUAGGCCCAAAUACAUUUUAUUGACCCAAGACCCUAAACCCGGUUACACCCAACGGGUUUAAACCAAAAUACUAAAACUACCCAUUAACCCGUUUACAUCCAACCCACAAGCAGAUACGGCCCAAAUGGCCCAAUGUGUUAACAGAUGAGGGAACCCUAGGCGCCGUAAACUGAAAGUUCCAGAAGACAAGCCAAGCGUCACGACCCUUCGGUUUCCGUCGUUCUAGCUACCCUCCAUCAAGGCCACAAUUCCAGGCUCCAAGUCACGCCAUGAUCAACGCCACCGUUAGACCAUCGUCAGGCCUUCGUCAUAGCCAGAUUUCUCGCGAGCACCUGCAAAGAAAGGAAAGGAACCACAGCAAAAAGGGAAACAAACAGGGAAAGAAAUCAAAGAUUUCUUUCCCCAAAACACAAUAAUCUGUAAAAGGGCUAUAAAAACCCUUUUAUAAUCUGUAAAUGUUACGGUUUUUUUUUUGGGGGGGAGCACAUAUACAUAAUAAAGACAGCAGUAUUAUCAAAGAACAAAGGUGAUUCAUUUUUUAAUUUCAUUUUAUGAAUAUAUGCAUAUGAAGGUUAAGACAAAUACAAAGAAGAAUACCUUUUGUUUCAUUGAAAAAGGAUUGCAAUCGCCGUACGCGACGGCUUCAAAGGUGGUGCGUAGGCACGUGGGAACCCGAUGACGGAGGCACGAUGGCACUCCGAGGGUCCGCCCACAUCCUCCUUUCAGAGGAUUUUUCUUUUUUUU
This 885-nucleotide long non-coding RNA is filed under the name Gossypium barbadense (sea-island cotton). Its description in RNAcentral is "long non-coding RNA (GBAR_LNC006614)". Lineage: Eukaryota; Viridiplantae; Streptophyta; Magnoliopsida; Malvales; Malvaceae. The record is from RNAcentral.